RNAcentral lists this ribosomal RNA (385 nucleotides) under uncultured bacterium. RNAcentral's name for it is "bacterial SSU rRNA". It matches the Rfam family "Bacterial small subunit ribosomal RNA", at positions 30 to 416 of the family's 1533-position model. The record is from RNAcentral.
AUUGAACGCUGGCGGCAUGCCUUACACAUGCAAGUCGAACGGCAGCACGGACUUCGGUCUGGUGGCGAGUGGCGAACGGGUGAGUAAUGCAUCGGAACGUGCCAUUGAGUGGGGGAUAACGUAGCGAAAGUUGCGCUAAUACCGCAUAUUCUGUGAGCAGGAAAGCAGGGGACCGCAAGGCCUUGCGCUCUUUGAGCGGCCGAUGUCAGAUUAGCUAGUUGGUGAGGUAAAGGCUUACCAAGGCGACGAUCUGUAGCGGGUCUGAGAGGAUGAUCCGCCACACUGGAACUGAGACACGGUCCAGACUCCUACGGAGGCAGCAGUGGGGAAUUUUGGACAAUGGGGGCAACCCUGAUCCAGCCAUGCCGCGUGAGUGAAGAAGGCC